This 463-nucleotide ribosomal RNA is filed under the name uncultured bacterium. RNAcentral's name for it is "bacterial SSU rRNA". It matches the Rfam family "Bacterial small subunit ribosomal RNA", at positions 29 to 507 of the family's 1533-position model. The record is from RNAcentral.
AUUGAACGCUGGCGGCAUGCUUUACACAUGCAAGUCGAACGGCAGCACAGGGAGCUUGCUCCCGGGUGGCGAGUGGCGCACGGGUGAGUAAUACAUCGGAACGUGUCCUGUUGUGGGGGAUAACUGCUCGAAAGGGUGGCUAAUACCGCAUGAGACCUGAGGGUGAAAGCGGGGGAUCGCAAGACCUCGCGCAAUUGGAGCGGCCGAUGCCCGAUUAGCUAGUUGGUGAGGUAACGGCCCACCAAGGCGACGAUCGGUAGCCGGACUGAGAGGUUGAACGGCCACAUUGGGACUGAGACACGGCCCAGACUCCUACGGGAGGCAGCAGUGGGGAAUAUUGCACAAUGGGGGAAACCCUGAUGCAGCGACGCCGCGUGGAGGAAGAGGGUCUUCGGAUUGUAAACUCCUGUUGUUGAGGAAGAUAAUGACGGUACUCAACAAGGAAGUGACGGCUAACUACGUG